GCCGACGUAGCUCAGCCGGUAGAGCAACUGAUUCGUAAUCAGUAGGUCGUAGGUUCAAUUCCUAUCGUCGGCU
RNAcentral lists this transfer RNA (73 nucleotides) under bacterium. Its description in RNAcentral is "tRNA-Thr". It matches the Rfam family "tRNA". Rfam says of the family: Transfer RNA (tRNA) molecules are approximately 80 nucleotides in length. Their secondary structure includes four short double-helical elements and three loops (D, anti-codon, and T loops). RNAcentral also lists the same sequence under 1 other name. The record is from RNAcentral.